Small nucleolar RNA from Megalobrama amblycephala (Wuchang bream), 100 nucleotides. RefSeq annotates it as small nucleolar RNA U13. The record is from RefSeq and is a predicted model, not a curated record. The transcript has a single exon. Lineage: Eukaryota; Metazoa; Chordata; Actinopteri; Cypriniformes; Xenocyprididae.
AUUCUUCUAUGAAGGUUUAUUCAAAUGAUGAUUGGUCUGUUCACGUGACUGCGUGAAAUGUGCAACCUUCUGUUACGACUGAGCACAUGACCGUCUGAUA